This 450-nucleotide ribosomal RNA is filed under the name uncultured bacterium. Its description in RNAcentral is "partial 16S ribosomal RNA". It matches the Rfam family "Bacterial small subunit ribosomal RNA", at positions 338 to 795 of the family's 1533-position model. The record is from RNAcentral.
CCUACGGGUGGCUGCAGUGGGGAAUUUUGGACAAUGGGGGCAACCCUGAUCCAGCCAUUCCGCGUGAGUGAAGAAGGCCUUCGGGUUGUAAAGCUCUUUCAGCAGGGAAGAAACGAUUCUGGCUAAUACCUGGGAUUAAUGACGGUACCUGCAGAAGAAGCACCGGCUAACUACGUGCCAGCAGCCGCGGUAAUACGUAGGGUGCGAGCGUUAAUCGGAAUUACUGGGCGUAAAGCGUGCGCAGGCGGUUGAAAGCCCCGGGCUUAACCUGGGAACUGCGUUGGAAACUGAAAGACUAGAGUGCGGCAGAGGGGGGUAGAAUUCCACGUGUAGCAGUGAAAUGCGUAGAUAUGUGGAGGAAUACCGAUGGCGAAGGCAGCCCCCUGGGUCGACACUGACGCUCAUGCACGAAAGCGUGGGUAGCAAACAGGAUUAGAUACCCCGGUAGUC